Molecule: RNase P RNA, 388 nt
Filed under: Acidobacteriota bacterium
Lineage: Bacteria; Pseudomonadati; Acidobacteriota
Description: Acidobacteria bacterium (drinking water metagenome) RNase P RNA component class A
Rfam family: Bacterial RNase P class A
About the family: Ribonuclease P (RNase P) is a ubiquitous endoribonuclease, found in archaea, bacteria and eukarya as well as chloroplasts and mitochondria. Its best characterised activity is the generation of mature 5'-ends of tRNAs by cleaving the 5'-leader elements of precursor-tRNAs.
Source: RNAcentral
AGAGCAGAUUGGAUGAUCGCUGGCGUUGCAAAAUGCCAGAGGAAAGUCCGAACACCAGAGGACGGCAGGCUGGCUAACGGCCAGGCGGGGCGACUCGACGGAAGAGUGCAACAGAGAAUAGACAGCCCGAACGGCCGCGAGGCGCGUGGGCGAUGGUGAAACGGUGAGGUAAAGGCUUCACCAGCAACGGUGGCGACAUCGUUGGCUAGGCAAACCCCCUGCGGUGCAAGACCAAAUAGGGUGAUGAUUUGAGUUGGUCCGAUUCAGUGCCGGUGCAAGCCGGACGCGUCACCGGGUAGGUCGCACGAGCGCUUCAGUAAUGACGCGCCUAGAAGAAUGAUCAUCCCUCGCAAGAGGACGAAAUUCGGCUUAUAGAUCAGCUCUGUGA